This 466-nucleotide ribosomal RNA is filed under the name uncultured Arcobacter sp. RNAcentral's name for it is "bacterial SSU rRNA". It matches the Rfam family "Bacterial small subunit ribosomal RNA", at positions 919 to 1382 of the family's 1533-position model. The record is from RNAcentral. Lineage: Bacteria; Pseudomonadati; Campylobacterota; Epsilonproteobacteria; Campylobacterales; Arcobacteraceae.
ACCCGCACAAGCGGUGGAGCAUGUGGUUUAAUUCGACGAUACGCGAAGAACCUUACCUGGCCUUGACAUACUAAAAAGCUUUAAGAGAUUAGAGUGUGCUAGCUUGCUAGAAUUUAGAUACAGGUGCUGCACGGCUGUCGUCAGCUCGUGUCGUGAGAUGUUGGGUUAAGUCCCGCAACGAGCGCAACCCUCGUGUUUAGUUGCUAACAGUUCGGCUGAGAACUCUAAACAGACUGCCUACGCAAGUAGGAGGAAGGUGAGGACGACGUCAAGUCAUCAUGGCCCUUACGGCCAGGGCUACACACAUGCUACAAUGGGGUAUACAAAGAGCAGCGAUACGGUGACGUGGAGCAAAUCUAGAAAAUGCCUCUCAGUUCGGAUUGUAGUCUGCAACUCGACUACAUGAAGUUGGAAUCGCUAGUAAUCGUGGAUCAGCAAUGCUACGGUGAAUACGUUCCCGGGUCUU